GACGAACGCUGGCGGCGUGCUUAACACAUGCAAGUCGAACGGGGCGAAGUGAUAGCUUGCUAUUAUGGAGCCUAGUGGCAAACGGGGUGAGUAACGCGUAGGCAACCUGCCCUUCAGAUGGGGACAACACCUCGAAAGGGGGUGCUAAUACCGCAUGAUACUAUCGGGCCGCAUGGUCUGAUAGUCAAAGAUUUAUUGCUGAAAGAUGGCCUCGCGUCUGAUUAGCUAGUUGGUGGGGUAACGGCCCACCAAGGCGACGAUCAGUAGCCGGACUGAGAGGUUGACCGGCCACAUUGGGACUGAGACACGGCCCAGACUCCUACGGGAGCAGCAGUAGGGAAUCUUCGGCAAUGGGCGAAAGCCUGACCGAGCAACGCCGCGUGAAUGAUGAAGGCCUCGGUGUAAAUCUGUUAUAAGGGAAGAAUGACUCUAGUAGGAAAUGGCUAGAGUGU
Molecule: ribosomal RNA, 452 nt
Filed under: uncultured bacterium
Lineage: Bacteria
Description: bacterial SSU rRNA
Rfam family: Bacterial small subunit ribosomal RNA
Source: RNAcentral